Long non-coding RNA from Lagopus leucura (white-tailed ptarmigan), 722 nucleotides. RefSeq lists it as uncharacterized. The transcript has 4 exons. The record is from RefSeq and is a predicted model, not a curated record. NCBI's taxonomy places the organism in Eukaryota, Metazoa, Chordata, Aves, Galliformes, Phasianidae.
CACUGAGGGACACAUGAGCUGACAGUCAGUCUGCUACAGCAAAUAUUGCAGUCAUUUCCAACAAAGGCAAAACAAAUCUCACGUAUUCAGUGGCACUGCAGGUCAGGCACGAAGCUGUGCCAGCUCCCACAGUUCGGGUAGGAAAAGAAACCCAAGCAGUGCAGAGAGAUGAAAAUGAUGGCUGACCAACCAGCCAGGAGCUUCUAAUCACAUUACUGCAUUCUGCACACAGUGUGCCAUCGCUGUGAGCUGCAGUCUGGAGCUCCAAAAACGUGCAAGAGCACAACUCCUAUAAAACACUGAUCAUUGGGAUCACCAGCACAAGGGAGCAUUCUGUUUGGAUUCUUUGCCCUGGAGGCAAUUGAUGACCUUUCUUCAGCUCCGUGUCAAUCUGGCCAUGCAGGGAGACUUCCCCACACUGACACCAGGUAGAUUCUUCCUGCACAGUUGCUCCCACGUGGCAUCCAAAGGUAGGGAACUCCGUCUUGUUAACGUGCCGAAUUUCCACCAACCACAUCACUUCAUUUUGGGCUGUGUUUGUCCCCUUGGGGCUGUCCUCGAUGGACCUAACAGCACACCCAACACAGCUCCGAACACAAAACACAGAACUGAAGUUGGAAGGGACCUUUAAAGGCCAUCUGCUCGCACUCCACCAAACAGGGACACCCAUCAAUGCUCGGAGCACCGACCCCGGUGUGCCUGCAGGGAUGGGGAAGCACUGC